CGAUCUGCUAGGCCCAUACGUCUUAAAUCAUCUUCAACCCCCCGUUUACUCUCUACACCCCUGCAAAGUGCACACUACAGAAAUGGCGAUGGUUUCGUCACUGCUAUGGAUUCCCAACUACAGGGGCUUUGUUGUUGUCCCUGUCACCAUACUACGAACACUAUCUGCGGCCACCAGCCACCGCCACUACAACCGCCACAAAAACAAGAGGUUUGGCUGUUCAAACUGGGAUUCCGACUUGAAUUUUUACCAGAAAAACUGUAGCAGAACCUUUGCAUCUGAUUCUGUGGCUUCUAUAGCUAUCACGUCGAAUCUAUCUACCCCCAAUUCCAAAUGCCAUGUUGAAUAUGAUCGCUUGCUUCCAUGCCCAACUGAGAAUUUUCUACCAAGAAUUGAGCAUUUAGUUGUUAAAGAAGGAGGACCUGUUCUUGACUUCAUUACCAAAGCUCUGGAUCUUCCACCUUUGUAUGUUGCAGAUCUGAUACAUUUUGGAGCAGUGUUCUACGCGCUUGUAUGCCCAAAGCCUCCUUCAACUGCUACACCUGAGGAAAUCAAGUUGUUCAAACAAGUUACAGACCCUUUGGUCCUCAAAAAGAGACAUUCAAUCAAAGGAAAAACCCUAAGAGAGGCACAAAAAACUUUUAGAAUUACUCAUAUUGAUGAAUUUGUUGAAGCAGGGACAUACUUGAGGGUGCAUGUUCGUCCAAAACGAUUUCCGAGAUGCUAUGAAAUUGACUGGAAGUCAAGAAUAAUUGCUGUGACAGAAUCGUAUGUGGUUCUUAACAAGCCAGCUGGCACAUCAGUGGGUGGAACUACAGACAACAUUGAAGAAACAUGUGCAAAAUUUUCUACUCGUGCCUUGAAAUUAACUACUCCAUUAAUGACAACUCAUCAGAUUGAUAAUUGCACAGAAGGCUGUGUUGUGCUAGCUAGAACCAAGGACUACUGCUCAGUUUUUCAUAGAAAGAUCAGGGAGAAAAAAGUGAAGAAGCUUUAUCUUGCACUUGCUGCUGCUUACGUGCCACCUGGACUCAUGACUCAUUACAUGCGACCAUUUCGUAUGGCUCCAAAAAUUGUUUCCCAAGAGUUGAUUGAGGGAUGGAAUUUGUGCCAACUAGAGGUCCUAGAAUGCAGGAAAGUUCCAUGGCCAAAUGCUUGGAUUGAAGAAGAGAAUGGAAUUCAGGAUUUGAAUUGGCCGAAUAAAGAGUUUGCAUAUGAAUGCAAAAUCAACCUUUUGACUGGUCGUACUCACCAGAUUCGAGCUCAGUUGGCAGCUUGUGGUGCACCUCUAGUGGGGGACUCGAUGUACAUGCCAGCUGUAAUUUCAGAGCUAGCUAAUCCCGGGUUAAACCCUGUUGGGAAUGGGAAGUACAAAAAGGAAUUUGAAAGUGAGGCGGAUAGAGAAUCCGCCAUUGAAGAAUGGGCUACAAAACACGGGAAGGAACCUGGUGUGAGUAUUGGCCUUCAAGCUUCUCAAAUUUCAUGGGAUGAAGAUGAAGGACAACAACACUUGUAUCUGGCAGGACCUCCAUGGUGGACUCAAUAGCAAAUUCUAACUACUGAUCGAAUGUCGGUCAUAUACUUUUGGAGUGAGGCUACUCAGUAUAGGCUCCUCUAUGUUGUUUGGGAGGCUAAGAUGGCUAACUAGAACGACGUGCCCAUGCCUGGAACACCGCCACACCUAAAUGUGUCGGGCUCAACGCAAGGAAACGUAGGUGGAAGAAGAAGAAAACAGUUUGAUUUAAUUUUUUUUACCUAUAAAAACAUUUUAGCCCACUGAUUUUCUUACAUCAUUCUUUUCUUUCUUUCUAUUUUACUUAACUUCACAACUCCAAAAUAAAAAAAAUGGAUCAACACCCAAACACCCUCCACCAAACCUACACCCACACCCGGACGCAACCUCUACCAUGUGAUUCACUUAAUAUGAGGGCUUUUUAACCUACUAAACACCCAAGGUUUGCCGCAAAUACCAUAGUAACAAACUUAUUUCAACCCUACCUAACAUCCGAUUCAAUUUCCUUCACCACCACUUCCAACAAAACGUUUAUGGGAAACAACCAAAUUUUCUACAAAACCGUUACAUCAUCUUCCAUACCAAAUUUCCAAACACAAACAACUCGUUAACCAACUUCCAUCUAACAACAACUACCUACACAACGAUAGAUAGAAUUUGUGUCACAACUAGUACUUUUGGUUAGGAAAUUCUGUCCUCAUGUGAGCCCCAAUCAAUUUGAGGCUUGAACUCAAACGUUAAGAUUUGCAUUGUGAUUCCUAAGGAGCCAUGUAUGGUCAUAUUGCAAGGAAUAUCUUCCUCUAUGGCAAAUCUCUCCAAGUAUGUGAAACCUCUCCCAAAUCUCUCCAAGUAUGUGAAUUCUCUCCUAAAUCUCUCUAAGUACGAGAAAUCUCUCUAAAUAUGUGAAAUCUCUCCCAAAUCUCUCCAAGUAUGUGAAAUCUCUCCCAAAUCUCUCCAAGUAUGAGAAAUCUCUCCAAGUAUGUGAAAUCUCUCCCAAAUCUCUCCAAGUAUGAGAAAUCUCUCCAAAUAUGUGAAAUCUCUCCCAAAUCUCUCCAAGUAUGAGAAAUCUCUCCAAGUAUGUGAAAUCUCUCCCAAAUCUCUCCAAGUAUGUGAAACUUCUCCCAAAAUCUCUCCAAGUAUGUGAAAUCUCUCCCAAAUCUCUCUACAUACCUUCCUCAAUCGAAAACAACUCAAAACCGGAGUAGAAAACCCAAAAGGACCCUCUUGGUCCGAAUACCUUCUAAAGAACUAAGAAGGUUCUGACUUCGGAUUUCAGCAUGCUUCGGAACCUCCCUCACUCCGGACCGGACCGGACCACUGAUUCGCCUGUUGACUCUGGAUCAGAAGGAGCGCUUCGGAACUCGCCUUGCUGACUCCGGAAGUUGAUAGAUGGCUUCGGAAAUGCACUCCUUUGCUCCGGAUCUUGAAGAAUGACUCCGGAAUCCUUCCUAAUGACUUCAGACCCUUGCAGGAGCAUCAUCCCACUCGGAUUUUCAUCAUUUUCGGACUUUUUCACCAUUUUAAGGCAUUUUGAUGCCGGAAAUCACACCAAACUCGUAUUUUUCAUAUCUUAAACCCCUUAAACCCCUAUUUUAAGCCAAAAUUAAUUAUUUUAAAUAUAUUUAUAUAAAAAAUAUCCAAGAUUUUUAAAGGGUUUCUAAGAAGAUAAGGAGUUUGACCUUAUGAUUUGAUGCAAAUUCCUCAUUUCCCAUGCAAAUCUCAGUAAAACACGUGUUAUCCAAAGAAACUAAGCUUUACCCACCAGCCCUCCAAGCAAAUAUCAAGUCACUCCUUAUCCCUCCAUCUAGAAUACGUGGACUCUUUCUUCCUCCUUAUUCCACUUCUCACUUUCACCUCUAGCAAACUCAUAAGAAUACUCUUCACUCCUUCAAACUCCAAGUUCAUCUCUUCAAGGAAAUUUCCAGAUUUCUUCUAAUCAUUCUAAGGAUUAAAGAGCCUUUCAAGUGCUGAAACUUGGAAACUCCUCAUCAUCUCCUCUCCAAACAUCUCCUCAACCAACUCAAGGGAUCUAAUAAGCAAGUAACAAGGGAUGCGGAUGCUGAACUAUUUAGCUGUAGUUUGGAGUUUUUCUGCUUAUGUCUCUUUUGUGUAACUCGAAGAAUAGAUACAAUAUGUAAACAAUGUAAGUUUGUUAUCUCAAUGUAUGAUGUUUGGAUUGCUCUGUUUCAUUUA
Non-coding RNA from Lactuca sativa (garden lettuce), 3706 nucleotides. The record is from RefSeq and is a predicted model, not a curated record. NCBI's taxonomy places the organism in Eukaryota, Viridiplantae, Streptophyta, Magnoliopsida, Asterales, Asteraceae.